GUGAAUCAUCAAAUUUUUGAACGCAAAUUGCACUCUCUUCGGAUAGUAUGCCUGUUUGAGGGUCAGCCUAAAAAAAACCGACAAGGUUUCUUUUUCGCGGUGCCUUUUGUCGGAAGUUGUGCUGUCUUAACCCUUUGGGUUUAAUGGGCGUUAAAAUUUUCUUUUCGAUUCCACGAACGUUUCUAAGUUUUUAUUUCUUACACUUUAAAGUUAUCG
This 216-nucleotide unclassified non-coding RNA is filed under the name Glomus sp. Its description in RNAcentral is "partial contains 5.8S ribosomal RNA and internal transcribed spacer 2". The stretch from base 1 to 65 matches the Rfam family "5.8S ribosomal RNA", at positions 84 to 154 of the family's 154-position model. Lineage: Eukaryota; Fungi; Glomeromycota; Glomeromycetes; Glomerales; Glomeraceae. The record is from RNAcentral.